Long non-coding RNA from Triticum aestivum (bread wheat), 2465 nucleotides. RefSeq lists it as uncharacterized. The transcript is spliced from 4 exons. NCBI's taxonomy places the organism in Eukaryota, Viridiplantae, Streptophyta, Magnoliopsida, Poales, Poaceae. The record is from RefSeq and is a predicted model, not a curated record.
CCGCCGCAACCCACAACCCCUCGCAGUCUCCCUUCCAAUUCACCUCCUCUCCUCCCGUCAUGGCACUGGAUCAUUCCCCCAGCUUCUUCGUGCGCAGCCGCCGGCCUUGUCCUCUUCACCGACGGGAGGAGGCGAGUAGCAGCCGCACCAGGCAGCCAGCAAGAAAGACGGCUGGGCAUGGCUCCACCUCUCCCAUCCUCGGAUGUGGGCGGAGUCGGCGGUUGGCGGCGAGCGCCGGACAGGCAGAGGGAGCGCCCUGGUCGAGGGAUAGCAGCGGCGGGGGUUCCGCCAACCGCGGAGGAGGAGGAAGAAGGGGCGAUGGGCGACUACUGCGCGGUGGCGGCGGCGGAUGGGGAGCAGCCGGUCACGGUGUCCGUGCUGCCGCUGCCGCCGCCGCUGGCUAGGUACCUGUACGGAGACUACGACCGCUGCUCCACCAAGCAGGUCUUCGAGAACCUCCACGGCAACAUCUCCCUCGACCCGACAGAACAAAAGGGCCAUUGUUAAACUGGUCUAGGCGGCAAGAUAAUUACAGGGUUAACAGAGGGAAUUGUUUACCUGCAUAAGCACUCCAGGUUCUGGCUUAUCCAUAGAGACUUGAAACCACAUAAUGUCCUCUUGGAUUGUAACAUGAUCCCAAAGAUUGCUGAUUUUGGAUCAUCUAGAGCACUGCGUUCAGAUGUAGCAGAGGAGAGCACGAGUAGGGUCAUUGGAACCAGUGGUUACAAAGCUCCGAAGUAUGCAUCUUGAGGAGUUUACUCGAUGAAGACAGAUGUGUUCAACUUUGGCGUUUUGGUUCUGGUGAUUAUUAGUGGCCGAAAGAACACCAUACUCGACAAGCGAGGGGAUAUUGUUGGUGAUCUUGUACGAGAAGUGAGACAAGACUGGCAUAUGUGGAAGGAGCAAAGGUUGCAUGAGCUUGUGGAUCCAUUGUUAGCGAAUGGAUAUAGAGUCGCUGAGAUAAGAAAAUGCUCUCAUGUGGCAAUGCCUUGUGCUCAGGAAGAUCCAGCAGACUGGCCCACCAUGACAGAUGUUGCUGCAAUGCUAAACUCUAAAAGCAUAAGCUUACCAAUGGAGCCUAAGCAGCCCGCUGUGCUGAUCCAUGGGUGUGCCGACUAUAUAAGAUCGGUUGCAAGACUGUACAGUGUGUAUUCAAAUGAGGCUAGAGGUAAAUAUAUACUUCUAUGAACUAAAAAUCUAUGGUAAAAUAGAUGCUCAUGGUACUUCAGGGUCUUGUAGUCCACUUCAAAUGUAUGUGAGAAUCUGAUCUCAUUUUGAAUGUUUGUGUGUUGCUUUUCUCCAAUUCGUCGACAGGUUAAUCCAAUUGGGUGAUAUGAUUCAUGGAGUUGAUUUAUUUGACAUACUAAAUAGGUAUGGUACUAUUAGUUCAUGAACAUAAGAUGUGCUUGAGAGGUUCUUACGAGCCAGAUACAUACCUCCAGCUACUUUCUUAUUUUUAUUUGUGUUACAAAAAGGGGUAGUGUAAACUUUGGUCAGCUGAUGUAUUAACCAGUUAACUUGUUGGGUUCUUUACAUUGCGUUUUUUUUACCAAUAUGUUCUUGUUGCAGUUUCUGAAACCAAAGCUCAAAUAAGUUUAAAUGAGUGCAAGUUGGUACUACUUUGUAGUUAGUCUUUCAUUUCCAGCCACCUUAUAGUCUUAUUCUUUUAUUGUCAUUGUCAUGCUGCAGUAAGGUCGAUAGAACAAAAGGUUCAAUCAUCGUGACUAAUAGUGCAUUCAGUGGUUGAGGAUCUCAUAUGUUUUCCCAUUAAACAUGAUAUACCUAUAUACAUAGUCUUCCUUUCUGCAAACAUUAAAUGGUUCUUAAAUUAGCUGCUAGGUCAGCUAUGAAUGGGCUUUUUUAGUUGGUCAUGCACAUAUACAUAGGCUGAUUGGCAUCGCUAAGGAAAUAAGGCAAACUGAAAUGCUACAAGAAAUGACAGCUUUAUAUACUUUGUCCAUUGUUAGCAGAGCUUCAGCCGGUGAACAGGAGGACAAAAGACAAUUGCUCCGUCAUCGUAAACUUCCACUGCUAGCCGAGCUUCAACCUGCUAGCCCCUCAAGUGUACAAUUGGUUCUAUCCAGAUUGAUUUUACAAUUUUCUGUUGUUAUCCGUAGGAUAUAGUGGUUAAUCUGGUUGGGAAUAAUCCGCCACCCAAGGGGAUCAAUGUCUAAGAUAUUGUUGUUUGUUCAAAGCAGGGUUGUUUUGUUAUUAGCUGUAAAUUCUAUUGCAAGUCCUUGCUUAUAUAUGCAUGUUUGUCAGCAAUUAGAGAAAAAUGGGAUGGAAGGGUCGCUUGUCAAUCUGGCACCGCACUUAGGAGGCGCCUAGUAAAGAUUGAACCUGAACGGCCACCACGGCAAGUCUCGGUCUAUCCCGUCUAUCCCACUAAAUUUGUAAGCUUUCCCACUGCAAGACUAUUCAGUUUUCCACUAAUUUCUGUCACGUGUGAAAUCCAGGCGGAGACA